UACGUAGGGGGCAAGCGUUGUCCGGAAUUAUUGGGCGUAAAGAGCGCGUAGGCGGUCCGAUAAGUCAGCUGUGAAAGUCAGGGGCUCAACCCUUGAAAGCCGGCCGAUACUGUCGGACUAGAGUUCGGAAGAGGCAAGUGGAAUUCCCGGUGUAGCGGUGAAAUGCGCAGAUAUCGGGAGGAACACCGGUGGCGAAGGCGGGUCUCUGGGCAGUAACUGACGCUGAGGAGCGAAAGCGUGGGGAGCGAACAGG
RNAcentral lists this ribosomal RNA (253 nucleotides) under uncultured bacterium. Its description in RNAcentral is "partial 16S ribosomal RNA". It matches the Rfam family "Bacterial small subunit ribosomal RNA", at positions 524 to 776 of the family's 1533-position model. The record is from RNAcentral.